This 392-nucleotide ribosomal RNA is filed under the name uncultured bacterium. RNAcentral describes it as "partial 16S ribosomal RNA". It matches the Rfam family "Bacterial small subunit ribosomal RNA", at positions 523 to 918 of the family's 1533-position model. The record is from RNAcentral.
AUACGGAGGAUCCGAGCGUUAUCCGGAUUUAUUGGGUUUAAAGGGUGCGCAGGCGGCCAUUUAAGUCAGCGGUUAAAUCGUGGGGCUCAACCCCAUUCUGCCGUUGAUACUGGGUGGCUUGAUUGCGGUCGAGGUUGGCGGAAUUCGUUGUGUAGCGGUGAAAUGCAUAGAUAUGACGAAGAACACCGAUUGCGUAGGCAGCUUGCCAGACCGCAAAUGACGCUCAUGCACGAAAGUGCGGGGAUCGAACAGUAUUAGAUACCCUGGUAGUCCGCACAGUAAACGAUGAAUACUUGUUUUCGGCGAUAUAAUGUCGGAGGCAAAGCGAAAGCGAUAAGUAUUCCACCUGGGGAGUACGCCGGCAACGGUGAAACUCAAAGGAAUUGACGGGG